This 127-nucleotide non-coding RNA is filed under the name Peptococcaceae bacterium. RNAcentral describes it as "SAM-I sequence". It matches the Rfam family "SAM riboswitch aptamer (S box leader)". From Rfam's summary of the family: The SAM riboswitch is found upstream of a number of genes which code for proteins involved in methionine or cysteine biosynthesis in Gram-positive bacteria. The SAM riboswitch acts at the level of transcription termination control. The predicted structure consists of a complex stem-loop region followed by a single stem loop terminator region. The record is from RNAcentral. Lineage: Bacteria; Bacillati; Bacillota; Clostridia; Eubacteriales; Peptococcaceae.
CUCUUAUCCGGAGUGGUGGAGGGACUAGCCCGAUGAAACCCGGCAACCAGCUUGACACGCUAUGAUUUCAUGGCAUGCACAAAGCAUGGUGCUAAUUCUUGCAGGAGAUUCUUCUGACAGAUAAGAG